CAGCUGGGCUGGCUGGGAAUGCGGUGGGACUGGGAACCCUGCAGAUACAAUCUGGAAUUUGGAAACCAGGCAGAGUCCCUGGUCCCAGACGGAGCUUGUGGCGACAACAGCUAUUUCCAGAGAGAGAGAGAGAGCAUACAUAUGGUGGGGGGGCAGGGCAGAAGGAAAGGGAGAGACAAAAUCUUAAGCAGGCUCCAUGCUCAGCAUGGAGAGCAAUGCAGAGUUCAAUCCCACAACCCUGAGAUCAUGACCUGAGCUGAAAUCAGGAGUUGGAUACUCAACUGACUAAGCCACCCAAGCACCCAUUCUUUUUAUACCUAGGCCUGGUAUUUUAGGUCAUGCCUUCUAUUUUAGGUCAUUUAUUAUCAGUUCAAUUUCUUCAGUGGACAUAGGUGUAUUGAGAUUGUCUAUUACAUGACAUUUUGAUAGGAAGAGUUCAUUCCAUCCCUUUUGUUAAGAUCUUUCAGGGACUUCAUAUUUACCUUCUAAGUUUGGCAUGUACCUUUUAGUCUGCUGUCAUUUCUUUUAACAUUCCAACUUUCUGAAUAUCUUACUACUCUUACUACUUGCAUUUUCUGCAAAAUAUCAAGCUCUGUCAUAUGCCUAUGUAUGCAUAAGGACUUUUCUGUGUUCCUAAAGUAUCCUUUUCUAAUUUGUAUUUAUCCUACUAAACUCAGCUUUCCAUAGAAGCCUUUCCUGAUAUCUCCUGGUAAUUUACCUGCCCCAUUCAUCUUCUACAAUAGAAAAAUGAAAUUGUCCUUUAAAAUUAUAAGGAAAAAAACAAGAGUUUAAAGUUAUUUUAAAUUUUCAAUGUAAUUCAAGAUGUACAAUGAAAUAAAGUAUAAAAUACUGACCUGGUUGUAGAUUGUUUCCUUUAUAAAUUCAGUAUCAAAGACAGAUAGACACAUUUUGACACAGCAUAUCAACAAUGAUAUAAACACCGAACAAUAAAAUAUCAUUUCAAGAUAAACGUUAAGUCUAUAUCAAGACUGAAGGCAAACUCUAGUACUCAUUUAGGUAUACUUAGAUGCUUAGAUAUAUCACUUUCUUAGAAGUGUUUGUAUAUGAAACAUUUGAGUCUUUUGUUUAUUUUUAUUUUUCCGAAUGGUUAACAGCUUAAACUCUUGAGUUAUACAGACUUGGGGUAGACACCAAAUUACAUUCUGUGAGACCUUGGGCAAGUGAUUAAACCAUCUCAAUUUCCUUAUGGGAUAAAAAUAAAUAGUAACUAGUGGCGAUGGUAACAUUACUUGAAUUAUUAAAAAUAAUGUCAUUAUAUAGGCCUCUCUUUCCCUCAUGUACGGUGUUUGAAAAAAAUUUUGUUUUACCAUGAGUCCUAGUACCCUGCAAAUAAUAACCCAUUGAACCCCUCCUCUAACACCAUUUUUCCUUACUUUUUUAUAAUUGCCAAAACAGUAGAAUAUGGGCUAGAUGGAGCAACAUUUCAAGUAGAGUAAUCAUUCUGAGUCAGAAACUUUCCUUUUAGUCAUUUUUAAAAAUAAAUCAUGUCUAGAAAAAUAAUUGCUCAUAAUUAUAGGUCCCCUAGACACACUUUGUAGGGAAACAUAAAUGGUUUUGAGUAUUUCAGAGAUGUGGAUGUGAGAAGACAGGUAAGACAAAGAUUUGGAUCACCAUCCUCAUAUGUGAUAUUAUGUGCUAAAAUGUGUUCUCCGAAAGUCCAUACAUUGAAGUCCUAACUCCCACCCCCAGGACCUCAGAAUGUAACUGUAUUUGAACAGGGUCUUCCCCCCACCCUUCCUACCCUUUUUUUUUCUUUUUCUUUACCUUUUUUUUUUUUUUUUUUUGAGACAGGGUCUUUAAAGAGGUAAUUAAGGUAACAUGACGUCAUUAGGGUGGGUCCUAAUCCAACAUAACAGGUGUCCUUGUAAGAAGAGGAAAUCUGGAUAUAGAUGCAUACAGAGAGAAGAUAAUGUAAAAACACAGGAAGAAGAUGGUACUUACAAGUCAAGGAGAGAGGCCUGGAACAGAUUCUUCCCUCAGGCUCCUUAGAAGAAACCACCUCUGCUGACUCUUGAUCUUGGACUUCUCACCUCCAGACUGUAAGAAAAAUAAACUCUGUUAUUUAUUUAUUUAUUUAUUUAUUUAUUUAUUUAUUUAUUAUUUA
RNAcentral lists this long non-coding RNA (2125 nucleotides) under Mustela putorius furo (domestic ferret). RNAcentral's name for it is "lncRNA (ENSMPUG00000031139.1)". Lineage: Eukaryota; Metazoa; Chordata; Mammalia; Carnivora; Mustelidae. The record is from RNAcentral.